UUGGCUUUCGCAUUGUCCAGAUUAUUAUUCGAUGAGUCAUUAAUUUUUCCUAGCUAUAUGUUUUCUCAAAUUCUCCCGUCGGCUUCCGCAUCGUCUAGAUUAGGUUGUUUAAAAAUUUGCGCUUCAGAAUCGACAUGUAUCCUUUCAGACUACAGUCGAUACCUGAGAACCACUUACUUUUGUAACGAAGUUGGAAUGCAUGCACUCAGAUUAUAAAAUAAUUUUAAUUAAAAUUCUCGUAAUUGAUAGUAACAUAUCAUAUGAUAGGCCAU
RNAcentral lists this long non-coding RNA (272 nucleotides) under Lathyrus oleraceus (garden pea). Its description in RNAcentral is "Pisum sativum (pea) long non-coding RNA (PSAT_LNC035683)". The record is from RNAcentral. Lineage: Eukaryota; Viridiplantae; Streptophyta; Magnoliopsida; Fabales; Fabaceae.